This 377-nucleotide ribosomal RNA is filed under the name uncultured Glomeromycotina. RNAcentral describes it as "SSU rRNA". It matches the Rfam family "Eukaryotic small subunit ribosomal RNA", at positions 569 to 951 of the family's 1831-position model. The record is from RNAcentral. Lineage: Eukaryota; Fungi; Glomeromycota.
AGCAGCCGCGGUAAUUCCAGCUCCAAUAGCGUAUAUUAAAGUUGUUGCAGUUAAAAAGCUCGUAGUUGAAUUUUGGGUUGGGCCGUUUGGUCCGUUCUUGUAACGAGUACUGGACGGUCUGGCCUCACCGCUUGGGGAUGCGUAAUGCCCUUUAUUGGGUGUUGCGAGCAGCCAAGACCUUUACCUUGAAAAAAUUAGAGUGUUUAAAGCAGGCUUAUGCCAGAAUACAUUAGCAUGGAAUAAUAGAAUAGGACAAUGAUUCUAUUUUGUUGGUUUCUAGGACCGUUGUAAUGAUUAAUAGGGAUAGUUGGGGGCAUUAGUAUUCAAUUGUCAGAGGUGAAAUUCUUGGAUUUAUUGAAGACUAACUACUGCGAAAG